CGGGUUGGCUUCUCAUCAAAUCCCCAAUAUUUGGCAGUUUUUACAUCAUCCUGGGCCAUCAAUCGUGAGAAUUCCUCAUGGUCAUACUUCAUCGUGGCUUUCCCUCCAAACUCACCAGGAAGGUUGUCAACAUCAAAGAAAUGCCUCAUGACCUCCUCACUCUCUUUAUUAUUUGGAUAAACAAAUUUUACCUUCUCUGAAGUUUUUGAAUUAAGUACGCACUUAACAGCCUUCCAGAAUGCCUCAAAAAUUCUUGG
RNAcentral lists this unclassified non-coding RNA (257 nucleotides) under Hevea brasiliensis (rubber tree). The record is from RNAcentral. Lineage: Eukaryota; Viridiplantae; Streptophyta; Magnoliopsida; Malpighiales; Euphorbiaceae.